GCAGUUCGACACAUUUUCAUUUGGUGGCGCUGUGGCUCCUGUGUGGCCGCACUGAUUGAAAGACUGGAAAUGGAGAGAAACGCAAAACUCAAUCCACUGGCAUCAGAUCCGGUGUAUGUCUAGCUGUGCAUCAUGGAAAGAAAUAUGUCAAAACUUGAGGCAUCAGCCAAGUACAGGCAUGAAAAUGACUGGAAACACAAGCAAACAAACAAGCAAAGGACAAAGGACCAAAUUCAGAGAAGCAGGACACUGCUGAACAGCUGAUCUGCCGUUAGCUGCGUAAAUCUCUCUCACGGUGAGCAGCUCCCAGAGCCCAGCUGAAUUAAUCACAGCCACACGGACACACGGGGGGCAGCCUGAGGAGGAGGACCGAGAGGAGGCUAGAGGAGAAACCAUGCUGUGAGAAAAGAGGCAGAGAAGAGUAUAAUUGACUUCUGGGCACUUAACAUACUGUGGACAUUCUCUGAUCCAGCUGAACCUCCAAAAAAGCAG
This is a long non-coding RNA of Cyprinus carpio carpio, 492 nucleotides long. The record is from Ensembl. NCBI's taxonomy places the organism in Eukaryota, Metazoa, Chordata, Actinopteri, Cypriniformes, Cyprinidae.